GGUUACGCGAGAGAGUAGACCGACGUACGACGACGACGGACUUAACACAGUGACAAGUCGAGGGGCAGGCGGGAUGAAGCUUGCUUCAUCCGCCGGCGACCGGCGCACGGGUGAGUAACACGUUAUGCAACCUGCCCCUGGCUGGGGAUAAGCCGGAGAAAUCCGGUCUAAUACCGCGUAACAUCCUUACGGGACAUCCCCGUUAGGAUCAAAGGAAGCGAUUCCGGCCAGGGAUGGGCAUGCGGCGCAUUAGCUAGUCGGCGGGGUAGCGGCCCACCGAGGCGACGAUGCGUAGGGGUUCUGAGAGGAAGGUCCCCCACACUGGUACUGAGACACGGACCAGACUUCUACGGGAGGCAGCAGUGAGGAAUAUUGGUCAAUGGGCGCGAGCCUGAACCAGCCAAGUCGCGUGAGGGAAGACGGUCCUAUGGAUUGUAAACCUCUUUUGCCGGGGAGCAAGCUGAGUCACGUGUGGCUCAGCUGAGAGUACCCGGAGAAAAAGCAUCGGCUAACUCCGUG
This 519-nucleotide ribosomal RNA is filed under the name uncultured Bacteroidota bacterium. RNAcentral's name for it is "bacterial SSU rRNA". It matches the Rfam family "Bacterial small subunit ribosomal RNA", at positions 28 to 507 of the family's 1533-position model. Lineage: Bacteria; Pseudomonadati; Bacteroidota. The record is from RNAcentral.